AAACUGGGACUAAUACCGGAUACGACUAUCUGACGCAUGUCAUGGUGGUGGAAAGCUUUUGCGGUUUUGGAUGGACUCGCGGCCUAUCAGCUUGUUGGUGGGGUAAUGGCCUACCAAGGCGACGACGGGUAGCCGGCCUGAGAGGGUGACCGGCCACACUGGGACUGAGACACGGCCCAGACUCCUACGGGAGGCAGCAGUGGGGAAUAUUGCACAAUGGGCGAAAGCCUGAUGCAGCGACGCCGCGUGAGGGAUGACGGCCUUCGGGUUGUAAACCUCUUUCAGUAGGGAAGAAGCGAAAGUGACGGUACCUGCAGAAGAAGCGCCGGCUAACUACGUGCCAGCAGCCGCGGUAAUACGUAGGGCGCAAGCGUUAUCCGGAAUUAUUGGGCGUAAAGAGCUCGUAGGCGGUUUGUCGCGUCUGCUGUGAAAGACCGGGGCUCAACUCCGGUUCUGCAGUGGGUACGGGCAGACUAGAGUGCAGUAGGGGAGACUGGAAUUCCUGGUGUAGCGGUGAAAUGCGCAGAUAUCAGGAGGAACACCGAUGGCGAAGGCAGGUCUCUGGGCUGUAACUGACGCUGAGGAGCGAAAGCAUGGGGAGCGAACAGGAUUAGAUACCCUGGUAGUCCAUGCCGUAAACGUUGGGCACUAGGUGUGGGGGACAUUCCACGUUUUCCGCGCCGUAGCUAACGCAUUAAGUGCCCCGCCUGGGGAGUACGGCCGCAAGGCUAAAACUCAAAGGAAUUGACGGGGGCCCGCACAAGCGGCGGAGCAUGCGGAUUAAUUCGAUGCAACGCGAAGAACCUUACCAAGGCUUGACAUGAACCGGAAAGACCUGGAAACAGGUGCCCCGCUUGCGGUCGGUUUACAGGUGGUGCAUGGUUGUCGUCAGCUCGUGUCGUGAGAUGUUGGGUUAAGUCCCGCAACGAGCGCAACCCUCGUUCUAUGUUGCCAGCGCGUUAUGGCGGGGACUCAUAGGAGACUGCCGGGGUCAACUCGGAGGAAGGUGGGGACGACGUCAAAUCAUCAUGCCCCUUAUGUCUUGGGCUUCACGCAUGCUACAAUGGCCGGUACAAAGGGUUGCGAUACUGUGAGGUGGAGCUAAUCCCAAAAAGCCGGU
This 1120-nucleotide ribosomal RNA is filed under the name Paenarthrobacter sp. RNAcentral describes it as "bacterial SSU rRNA". It matches the Rfam family "Bacterial small subunit ribosomal RNA", at positions 154 to 1286 of the family's 1533-position model. Lineage: Bacteria; Bacillati; Actinomycetota; Actinomycetes; Micrococcales; Micrococcaceae. The record is from RNAcentral.